Molecule: ribosomal RNA, 237 nt
Filed under: Fusobacterium necrophorum
Lineage: Bacteria; Fusobacteriati; Fusobacteriota; Fusobacteriia; Fusobacteriales; Fusobacteriaceae
Description: partial 23S ribosomal RNA
Rfam family: Bacterial large subunit ribosomal RNA
Source: RNAcentral
GAAGGAGGACUGAAAGGAACUCUGGAGGUAUCAGAAGUGAGAAUGCAGGAAUAAGUAGCGAGAAGGGGAGUGAGAAUCUCCCCCGCUGGAAGACCAAGGUUUUCAGGGUCAAGCUUGUCUUCCCUGAGUAAGCCGGGACCUAAGCCCAGGCUAGAAUGCGUAGGCGAAUGGAAAACAGAUGAAUAUUUCUGUGCCAGUUCUACUUUGUGAAGGAGGGACGCAGAAGGGUCUGCGCGC